UAGACAGCUCAUGGCAAGGGGGUUCAGAAACUGGUUUUCCCGACAGCCAGGGACUGUUUCUCACCCUGGACCUCGAGCCAGUACCCCCCGAACCCACUCAAGGCUGCCCCCUGGACCCCCCAAGGCAGAGAAGGGACAUCUGCUGCAUGUGUUUCAAUGAUCACAGGAUCUUCUCCUUCCCAGAGG
Long non-coding RNA from Chelonia mydas (Green sea turtle), 186 nucleotides. RefSeq lists it as uncharacterized. The transcript is spliced from 4 exons. NCBI's taxonomy places the organism in Eukaryota, Metazoa, Chordata, Testudines, Cheloniidae. The record is from RefSeq and is a predicted model, not a curated record.